Long non-coding RNA from Chinchilla lanigera (long-tailed chinchilla), 725 nucleotides. RefSeq lists it as uncharacterized. NCBI's taxonomy places the organism in Eukaryota, Metazoa, Chordata, Mammalia, Rodentia, Chinchillidae. The transcript is spliced from 3 exons. The record is from RefSeq and is a predicted model, not a curated record.
CAAGACGCUAUCUCAACAAAACAAAACAAAACAAAAAAACAGAAAAGGAGAGAAAGAAAAAGUAACAGGCUGUGUAAAGUAAAACUCACAGAACUCUCGGGGCUUGUUCUUGUUUCUGUCUGUGGCUCUCACUCUUCCGAGCAAGGACCUGCUUACUGCACACACUUGACCCUGAAUUCCCCUUGCCACUCACACCAGAGUUUGAGCUGCAGUUAAAUAGCCAAGACAGAGGCUGCUCUGCACGCGGGCUUGCUGCUUUUUUGCUUCUUUCACGCCCUUGCCCUGUGGCCCUGAAGGCACUGGCUGCCUGGCCUCGGGGCCCAGGACAUGGAGAAAAGCCUGAGUUCUUUCCCGCAGGGCCCAUCUUUUCUGACCCUGCAUGGUAACACCAUAGAAGUCUUGUCUUCACUCCGCUUGCCACAUCUGCAGUCUCGUGUGGAGCUUAGGGGGGAGCACGGCGCGCUGAGAAGCUGGAGAGGGAGACGAGUCGGAAGGAGAACCCACCUGACGGGAUGACAUUGGGUCACAUUCUCCAGAGGGCUGGCUCUGCCUCCUGCUGCAAUCUGGAGCAGUCUGCGAAGCCAGGCCCGUCUGGGGCCAAGCUGGACCCAGGCCCAGAGAACAUAUGUGCACCUGGGAACAGAGCCACCCCAGCCUCAGCCCUCUGGUCCCCCAAAAGCCGAGGCAAGGUCUCACUAUGGAGCUCACACUGGCCUUGAAUUCAC